GGCCACAUCCCGUUGAAACACUGGUUCUCAUACGAUCACUGAAGUUAGGCAACGUUGAACCAAGUCAGUACAUAGAUGGGUGACCGCUUGCGAAUACCAGAUGCUGUAAG
Acanthosepion pharaonis is the source of this 110-nucleotide non-coding RNA. The record is from the annotation of a GenBank genome assembly. Lineage: Eukaryota; Metazoa; Mollusca; Cephalopoda; Sepiida; Sepiidae.